GACGAACGCUGGCGGCGUGCUUAACACAUGCAAGUCGAACGGAAAGGCCCUGCUUUUGUGGGGUGCUCGAGUGGCGAACGGGUGAGUAACACGUGAGUAACCUGCCCUUGACUUUGGGAUAACUUCAGGCAACUGGGGCUAAUACCGGAUAGGAGCUCCUGCUGCAUGGUGGGGGUUGGAAAGUUUCGGCGGUUGGGGAUGGACUCGCGGCUUAUCAGCUUGUUGGUGGGGUAGUGGCUUACCAAGGCUUUGACGGGUAGCCGGCCUGAGAGGGUGACCGGCCACAUUGGGACUGAGAUACGGCCCAGACUCCUACGGGAGGCAGCAGUGGGGAAUAUUGCACAAUGGGCGGAAGCCUGAUGCAGCAACGCCGCGUGCGGGAUGACGGCCUUCGGGUUGUAAACCGCUUUCGCCUGUGACGAAGCGUGAGUGACGGUAAUGGGUAGAGAAGCACCGGCUAACUACGUG
Molecule: ribosomal RNA, 468 nt
Filed under: uncultured bacterium
Lineage: Bacteria
Description: partial 16S ribosomal RNA
Rfam family: Bacterial small subunit ribosomal RNA
Source: RNAcentral